This 1996-nucleotide long non-coding RNA is filed under the name Numida meleagris (helmeted guineafowl). RNAcentral describes it as "lncRNA (ENSNMEG00000003862.1)". Lineage: Eukaryota; Metazoa; Chordata; Aves; Galliformes; Numididae. The record is from RNAcentral.
CACCAGUUGACUCCAGUUCACCUCAUUGGCAACUAUGGGGCUCUGUGGGGCUCUAUGGGUCUCUGUGGGGCGCUGUGGGGCACUAUGGCUCUCUAUGGGGUUCUAUGGGUCUCUAUGGGUCUCUAUGGGUCUCUAUGGGUCUCUAUGGGUCUCUAUGUGGGGUCUCUAUGGGUCUCUAUGGGUCUCUAUGGGUCUCUAUGGGUCUCUAUGGGUCUCUAUGGGUCUCUGUGGGUCUCUAUGGGGCACUAUGGGGCACUAUGGGGCUCUAUGGGGCACUAUGGGGCUCUAUGGGAUCUCUGUGGGGCACUAUGGGUCUCUAUGGGGCUCUAUGGGUCUCUAUGGGGCACUAUGGGUCUCUAUGGCGUGCUAUGUGUCUCUGUGGGGCACUAUAGGGCUCUAUGGGGUCUCUGUGGGGCACUAUGGCUCUUUGUGGGGCACUAUGGUUCUCUAUGGGGCACUAUGGGUCUCUGUGGGGCGCUGUGGGGCUCUAUGGGGCACUAUGGCUCUCUAUGGGGUUCUAUGGGUCUCUAUGGGUCUCUAUGGGUCUCUAUGGCGUGCUAUGUGUCUCUAUGGGGCACUAUAGGGCUCUAUGGGGUCUCUAUGGGGCACUAUGGGUCUCUAUGGGGCACUAUGGGUCUCUGUGGGUUUCCGUGGGUCUCUAUGGGUUUCUACGGGGCUCUGUCGGUCUCUAUGGGGCACUCUGGGGCUCUAUGGGAUCUCUGUGGGGCACUAUGGUUCUCUAUGGGGCACUAUGGGUCUCUGUGGGGCGCUGUGGGGCUCUAUGGGGCACUAUGGCUCUCUAUGGGGUUCUUUGGGUCUCUAUGGGUCUCUAUGGGUCUCUGUGGGUCUCUAUGGGGCACUAUGGGGCUCUAUGGGGCACUAUGGGGCUCUGUGUCUCUAUGGGUCUCUGUGGGGCACUGUGUGUCUCUAUGGGUCUCUAUGGGGCACUAUGGGGCUCUAUGGGAUCUCUGUGGGGCACUAUGGGUCUCUGUGGGGCACUAUGUGUCUCUAUGGGACUCUAUGGGUCUCUAUGGGGCACUAUGGGGCUCUAUGGGGCUCUAUGUGUCUCUGUGGGGCACUAUGGGUCUCUAUGGGGCUCUGUGGGUCUCUAUGGGGCACUAUGGGGUCACUAUGUGUCUCUAUGUGUCACUAUGGGUCCCUAUGGGUUUCUGUGGGGCUCUAUGGGGCACUGUGGGUCUCUGUGUGUUUCUAUGGGGCACAGUGUCUUUAUGGGUCUCUGUGGGUCUCUCUGGGGCACUAUGGGUCUCUAUGGGGCGCUAUGGGGCUCUGUGGGUCUCUAUGGGGCGCUAUGGGUCUCUAUGGGUCUCUAUGGGGCACUAUGGGUCUCUAUGGGGCACUGUGUGUCUCUAUGGGGCACUGUGGGUCUCUGUGGGUCCCUAUGUGUCUCUAUGGGGCACUGUGUGUCUCUAUGGGGCACUGUGUAUUUCUAUGGGGCACUGUGUCUUUCUAUGGGUCCCUAUGUGUCUCUAUGGGGCACUGUGUCUUUCUAUGGGGCACUGUGUGUCUCUAUGGGGCCCUGUGAGUCUCUAUGGGGCACUGUGUCUUUCUAUGGGGCACUGUGGGUCUCUAUGGGGCACUGUGUGUUUCUAUGGGUCCCUAUGGGUCUCUAUGGGGCACUGUUUAUUUCUAUGGGGCACUGUGUGUUUCUAUGGGGCGCUGUGUGUCUCUAUGGGGCGCUGUGUGUCUCUAUGGGGCACUGUGUAUUUCUAUGGGGCACUGUGUGUCGCUAUGGGGCACUGUGUGUCUCUAUGGGGCACUGUGUGUUUCUAUGGGGCACUGUGGGUCUCUAUGGGGCACUGUGUGUUUCUAUGGGGCACUGUGUAUUUCUAUGGGGCACUGUGGGUCCCCAUUGUCCCCACGGUCCCCAAUGACGACACCGAGUCAGCGCUGGGGGGGCGGAGCUUUUCAUUGGGGGGUCAGGGGUCAAAGGUCAAAGGUCAGGGGUCAGUCCCUCCAGGUGACCUCCACCUCAUCC